RNAcentral lists this ribosomal RNA (465 nucleotides) under uncultured bacterium. Its description in RNAcentral is "partial 16S ribosomal RNA". It matches the Rfam family "Bacterial small subunit ribosomal RNA", at positions 338 to 795 of the family's 1533-position model. The record is from RNAcentral.
CCUACGGGCGGCAGCAGUGGGGAAUAUUGCGCAAUGGGCGAAAGCCUGACGCAGCGACGCCGCGUGAGGGAUGAAGGUCUUCGGAUCGUAAACCUCUGUCAGCAGGGAAGAACGGUCACUGUGCUAAUCAGCAGUGAAUUGACGGUACCUGCAAAGGAAGCACCGGCUAACUCCGUGCCAGCAGCCGCGGUAAUACGGAGGGUGCGAGCGUUAAUCGGAAUUACUGGGCGUAAAGCGCUCGUAGGCGGUAUGUCAAGUCAAGGGUGAAAUCCCCGCGCUCAACGUGGGAACUGCCUUUGAAACUGGCAAACUGGAGUGGGUGAGAGGAUAGUGGAAUGCCAGGUGUAGGAGUGAAAGCCGUAGAUAUCUGGAGGAACAUCAGUGGCGAAGGCGACUAUCUGGCACAUAACUGACGCUGAGGAGCGAAAGCGUGGGUAGCAAACAGGAUUAGAUACCCUAGUAGUC